Molecule: long non-coding RNA, 12880 nt
Filed under: Ananas comosus (pineapple)
Lineage: Eukaryota; Viridiplantae; Streptophyta; Magnoliopsida; Poales; Bromeliaceae
Description: long non-coding RNA (ACOM_LNC016790)
Source: RNAcentral
UCGGGGCAUAAUAGAGCAAUAUAAUAAGGUUUUACUCUUUGUUCGAUAGAAUGAGAAAAAGUACUCCUUACAAAGUUAUACUGUUAAGGCGCUACUGAAUAGUCUAAUGUUGUUCCGGUUUUGAUUCUUGUGAAAGUUGACAUCGAUUUGUUCCAAAUUUACACUCUCGGGGCAUAAUAGACCAAUAUAAUUAGGUUUACUCCUUGUUCGAUGGAAUGAGAAAAAGUACUCGUUGCAAAGUUAUACUGUUAGGGCGCAACUGAGUAGUCUAAUGUUGUUCCGAUUUUUGUUCUUCUGAACGUUGACAUCGAUUUGUUUCAANGUUAAUUAAGAGAAACCAUCUCUCUUUCUCUCUAGUAUCUCCGUUUCUCUCUCUCUCUCUUUUCUUCGAACGAGAGGUUCGGAGAGAGCCAAACCCGUGGUUUCUCUUUUCUCACGUUCAAGUGUAUAUAUAUAUAUAUAUAUAUCUCUCUCUCUCUCUCUCUCUCUCUCUCUCUCUCGUCCCGACGACACGAGAUCCCUCGUGCCUCCGGAGGCACGAGGACUCGGCAAAAGCUACUACCUCAAAGGCUUAGUUGCUAGCCGAGGCAAUUUGAACUAGAUCGCAUAAACUUCAAAGAUCUUUUAUUAAAAACACUAAAAAGCUAUAGUAAAUGGAUCGUUAGCUUUCCUAAGUUUUAGUUAUUAAAAAUUGCCAACUUUUAUUUUUAGGAUAUUUUUCACCACUAUAUCGUGAUUUUAAAAGCUAGUCUUUAUAACUAGAACAAUAUCUAUCAUAUUUCUGAGGAGAAAAUUGGAAUUGCUUGGUGGUGUAGCAAGCUUGGUGGAGAAGAAGGCUUGGAGUUGAAGCUUCAUCUUCAUCUUCUCCUUCCUUGGUCUAAGAGGAAACUUGAGAGGUUUUCUGACGCGCUGGCGAAGUCGGUUCGGCGAUACGACGAGGUUACGCGAAGAUAUUGAAGAAAAGGCCGAUUUCGGUACAGAUUGCCGCAGCUCGUGGCGUAAGCUCCCAAAAAUCACGAAACCGGAAUCGUAGCAUCGUGACAUCACCUAAAGUCUUGGAGCUAAAAAAGUCGGGGGCACGAAGGGUCGCGUGGAGCUCUCGGUGGGUUUGACCUCGCUACAAAUGAGAAAAUCUCAUUUAUGUGGAUUUAAGUAUCGUAAAAUGGAAAAUCACGCAUUUUAAUGAAAAAUGCAUUAUUUGUGAAUUUUAAAAUGCUUGAAAUGCUUAUGUUAUAUACAAUGCAUUUUCGGACCUCUAUGUAGUAGAGAGCUUGCAUGUAAGACUUAUGCAUGGGUUUAGCAUUCUAAUUGGGACUUGGAAUCAUGCUUCAUAUAGUAGACAUGACAAAUGUGUAAUAUGCCUUGGACAUAAAUCUCAUUUGGACAUAAGAGAAUACAUUAGGCCAUAAAGUGGUUUUGGACUUGAAUAACUUGUGAGUUAGGGAGCUAAUGUCGUAAUGCGACAUCGGGCUUGAGCUAUGAAUGAGCCUAGCAAAGUAAUGCCAUAGAGAGGCAUUAGGCUUGAAUGAUAUGUGAAUUGUAUAUGCAUGUUAAUAGUAUGAGAAUUAUGCUAAGUUGGUAGUUGCAUUGGAAAGUGUAUGCAUGUAGCAUUAUGAGAACUAUGCUAUGUUGAUAGUUGUAUACGGAUGCAUUGAAACCAUAUGCUAGUGGAUAGAUGCAUGUUAAUAUUUAUAUGCAUUGUGGAAUACAUGCUAGGUACAUAUUAGCAAUGUGAGAUCAUGCUAGAGAGCAUGCGAAUUAACCUAUUAUUGAUAGGGUAAGCUAAUGUCAUAAAGAGGCAUUGGGCUUGAAAUUUGUAAGGUACAGAACUUCUUAAAUUCUGAAGUUACGGUAGGAUGUAAUAGGUUUUACUCUUUGUUCGAUAGAAUGAGAAAAAGUACACGUUGCAAAGUUAUACUGUUAUGGCGCAACUGAGUAGUCUAAUGUUGUUCCGGUUUUGAUUCUUGUGAACGUUGAAAAUUCGUUCCAAAUUUACACUCUCGGGGCAUAAUAGAACUAUAUAAUUAGGUUUUACUCUUUGUUCGAUAGAAUGAGAAAAAGUACUCGUUUCAAAGUUAUACUGUUAGGGCGCAACAGAGUAGUCUAAUGUUGUUCUGGUUUUCGUUCUUGUGAACGUUGACAUCGAUUCGUUCCAAAUUUACACUCUAGGGGCAUAAUAGAACUAUAUAAUUAGGUUUUACCCUUUGUUCAAUAGAAUGAGAAAAAGUACUCGUUGCAAAGUUAUACUGUUUGGGCGCAACUGAGUAGUCUAAUUUUGUUCCUGUUUUUGUUUUUGUGAACGUUGACAUCGAUUCGUUCCAAAUUUACACUCUCGGGGCAUAAUAGAACAAUAUAAUUAGGUUUUACUCUUUGUUCGAUAGAAUGAGAAAAAGUACUUGUUGCAAAGUUAUACUGUUAAGGCGCAACUGAGUAGUCUAAUGUUGUUCCGAUUUUGGUUCUUGUGAAUGUUGACAUUGAUUCGUUCAAAAUUUACACUCUCGAGGUAUAAUAAAAUAAUAUAAUUAGGUUUUACUCUUUAUUCGAUAGAAUGAGAAAAAGUACUCGUCGCAAAGUUAUACUGUUAGGGGGCAACUGAGUAGUCUACUGUUGUUCCGAUUUUGGUUCUUGUGAACGUUGACAUCGAUUCGUUCCAAAUUUACACUCUCGAGGUAUAAUAGACCAAUAUAAUUAGGUUUUCUCUUUGUUCGAUAGAAUGAGAAAAAGUACUCGUUGCAAAGUUAUAUUGUUAGGGCGCAACUGAGUAGUCUAAUAUUGUUCCGAUUUUGGGGACCGUCCUCUGGCAAGGACCGGUUCCGAACGUUGAAUAUCCCCUUUGCCAGUUUGUGCAGCUUUACGUGGACGGCUCAAAGGGGUCGCUCGCCCGACAAAGGUGACCACCGGUUGGUCCCUCACUGCGAAAAAUACCCAGGGAGGCUGUUUCAAGAAGUGAAAAGUGAGGGUUUUAUGUUGCAUCAAGUGGGUUAUGAGAAGAGGCUAGGCUUGUCCGCCUCUCAUCGCAUCACUUACACUUCAGUGGAUGCCCUUCUUCACGUCGUGAUGUCGUAGUCCUCCAUACUCACGACCUCUGAUGUCUACUCAUCUUCUGGCUCUCUGAAAGGUUAUAACAAAAAAGCAUCAUAUCGGAGGAAAAGAGGAGAAGUAGCAGAAGGCUAGUAGAAUGAUAGAAGGAGACGAGAUAGAGACUGAAAAAGAGCGAGAAAGAGAGGUAUUGACAACUAAGACAGGAAUGAGAAGCAUAUCACGCGAGUUACACUAUUCAUCAUCUCCUCUUGCCCAAAGCUUGGAGCUUGGUAAUGAUGUAAACCUCAACCUUUGAUGUGGUUUCAAUAGGCAGAGGUAGAAGUUUUAUAAUACGAAUAAGCGCGGUUCAAGACUGAACCUUAUUGAGCUGCAUAACUGCCAGGUCGAGAUAUGUUUCGACUCGAAAUCGAAGCUCGCAGCCGGCAGAGUAGUCGUAUCUCAUCAAUGGCCGCAUGAUGCGUGCAUUGUGCUUUUCGAUAGUCUUUCGAGAAUAGGUUGGCCAGAGCAUACUUGAACUGGGCUAUUUAAUUCAAAUUAAUUUCGGCACACCUAAAUUCUAAGGUCCCGAAGUCGUAGGCACAGACGGUGUGUCGCAUUACCGUCGAGUAGCAGUCGAAGUUAUCGCCAAGAGAGACCUUCGGAGCUUCGUGUCCAUGCCUAGAAGGCUAACGGCGUCGAGACGGUUCUAAGGCACGACACAUCGCAAUCGAAGAGCUUCCACAGAAGUCCACCCACCGAGGGGUGGAGCAUCACAGUAAAACCCACCAAAAGUCCUCACCAGGGCGAGAGUGGCGCUACACGAGCUAACCAGAAGGGUGCGGGCGAUCAACAUGGUCGGACUUCACUUUCAUGCUUUAGAUGUCUGAUGUCAUCAUCGAAAGACUUAACUAGUACGAGUUUAUUACAUAUUGUGAUAUAGUCAAUUACUUGACGGAAUUGUCUUAACCAUGGAUUAUCGCUGCAUAUCCUUGCAUGCUAAGGAUGGUAUAGCUCUGCGUUUGUUCAUCAUCGUCAAGACUGAUUUAGUAAAACAUGCAGAGGUGAGCGAUCGUUUGAGAACAGACACCCAAUGAAAAGUCGCCCUAGUCAACUAACGAUAAGAAUUAUUGUUUCAGUAGAUGAUAUAUGAACCUAGUGAUACCUUGGAACACAGUUGUAUUCAAGAACUCUGUCAAGAGAACGAGUGGCCAUCUAGUUAACCUAAACAUGAACGAGUGCAUUAAGUAGCCGGUAGGCAGCGCAAAACCUAAGAAAACUGCCUGCAGCUUGUCGAGAGACUACAUCAGUAUCAGAUAGUGAUGGAUCAGCGCCACCAAUCAAGUUGCUACUACACCGAGGCUAACCUCUCGGUGCCACGAAAUUCCGCCGAGUAUAGAUAUGCCCCCUGUUGAUCAGGGCGAUAUUACGAGAUUAUCAUGACAGAGAUUGAAUCGAGCUCACUUAGCUGCUGUCUUACACCUGUAGGACAGUAAGAAUCCUCGCACCUUCCUUACGAUGCUUUAAGUCGUUACACAACUCCCGGAGUGCUUCUUCGGCGAAGAUAUCUCGCAAGAUACUGGCGGGCCAGUGUAUGCCCUGGAGCCAGUGUAGUGUCCGCUCUCGGAAGAUAGGAUCCGGUCUCCGGGUAAGUGAUAUAGCUAGCCCACUCAUCCCCUAUGCAAGCAUCUUAGACGACGUAGAGGUACACGUAUCAGAUGUCACAAUGAAAACCCGACGGCGAGCGAAACUUGCGUUCGCCGAGAGAUACGAAACUAGAUAUUCCACAGAAUAUAGCCCGAAGAUCCUGUUCAAUCAUGUCCAUGAUGCUGACUCACACUUAGCAUUGUGUUUGAUGGAAGCAUGUAGUCCCGAAAGGCAUCACCGAGACAGCCUAGCAUUCUUACUAUGAGUUGUGCGAAGACAUUCGUAGUGGCAUCCUGAAUUAUGAGGCAUUGUAGUACCUGUGGCGAAUCUAGUUUCUAUGGACCAUCAAUUCACUCUCAGCCCGGAUCUUAAGCUGAAUGGUACCGCUUUCAGUUAAUAUAAUCUAUCUAUCUGCAUAUCUAUCUGUAGCGCGGGGCUAAGACGCUAGUGGGAGGAUCCGAUGCAAUGAGAUCUUCGGAGCAGAUACACGCCAGAACCCACUGGGAAACUAUUCGUAGUUCUCACUCGCACAGAGUACUAUCGCUGCACUGAGGCUGGCUUCCAAAGAAAGGAGACCGUGUUCAAUCUGGGCAGGGGAUACCCCUGUUUCUUACACUGUGACUUUGUUGAGGCGGCUCGAAUCGCCGGAAGGCGUAAGCGCCCUACGGGUUGACAGUGGUAAUCCAGACGAAGAGGGUUUUUCACUUAUUUAAAUAUCAAAUUUUUUCUUGACUUAGCGCCUUAUUUAGAAGACAGGGCAGCACCUCUAGUCGUCUAGGGAGAUCACACCUGGCUCUAUGACCUCCUUUAUCACCCUACCUCAGCUGGCGCCUUCCCUUUACUUCAGCUCCCAGGCAAAGCAAUAUAAGAUUAGUCAUAGCCAUCGAGGAUCGAUGGUGGUUGCCAGACACAGUGAUCUCAUACUGCGGUCAGCACGAGGUCAUCCUGUUAUCUGGUAGUCUAGAGAGUUGUAGGUACGAAUUCACAGACUACAUGGUCAUAUCCAAUGAGUGGUCGCAUUCUUAAUCUUAUGUCUAAUAUACACGGCCGGGCAUUCAACAUUAUUGCCCUAGUAAAGAGAUAUCGCAGCGAAAUAGAGGCUCUAACAUGCUCGGUUAAUAAAUAUAUUAUAAGAAGUUAGCUCGGCAAAAUAGGAUCACCCAUCCUCCGCUCGCAUCGAUAGUAAUGUUGCCUAGUGAAAAACAGUCCAUUAGGUUCGAAUUUUAUUACUACUCAGAUCAGGCUAGAAAAACCCGAUCAUCGUUGUACCAAGAAGUAAAGCGGCGGUGAGUACCAUACGAGCAUAAGUGUAUGCUCAGCUGACAGGCGAGUAAGCAUCAUCCUGCUAGAGGUCGUCUCGAUCUCGAAGUGUACACAUCGAGUGUUUUGCGAGGAAAGACCAAGCUCACAUGCAAAUGAAUGCGAAAUAAAGAGUGGCGAUGCUCUUCACGUACUCGAAAAUGAGCAAUUCUAGCAUCAGAUGAAAUGUUGAAGGUAUGGACAAUACCUCGCAAGACAGUCGCCCACACCAGUGCCCUGCGUGCUGAGUCAGGGCGAAGACCUCUCUGCGCAUCUCCAGAUGCGCUGCCGUGCCCCUCAGUUUGCGCCUCCGUCCCGCGUAAUUGUGGUUGUUAAUUGUUAUGUACCCAGUUCAACGUUGUUCCUUGGAACCUUGUUGCUCACUAAUCUAUGGUUGAGCCUUGGCGACAGAGGAGGCUGUCCGUUCGGCGUCGGUCCGCCCUUCGAGUAGGGGGACCCCGGAGCCACGAAGCAGCUGCAGCUGGGGCUCCGCGGCUUCUGCGGGCGUGCAGGCAUGGGAGGAGACAGGGACUCCCCCUGAGACAUCCGCCACCUCCUAGGACACUGGCUUGCAGGGGAGCCACCUCGCACUGGCCACGAACGGAAACAGUGUCCUCCUCUGCGACCAUUCGCCAUCAACCGCUGAGCUUUGCCGGCAGAUGCACACAACGGUGGAUCGCCCCUCUGCUGAUUGCUCGAGGGCGCACUCUUUGCUCCCUGCUAGAGUGCGCGGAUGCUUUGGCGACCGGUUACUAUUGGAAAGGAGCCGCCGCACGUCUUAGAAUGGGAACGCUUUCUGUUCCCCAUCGCCUCCGAGGCCCUUUGCAGCUCGGACUCUCGUAGACUCGCUCUGGAUGACGAGGCUAUCGUCGCAAGCACUCCGUCAAAACACGUCAUCGUGCCAUGAGAAGCCCAGCAGCAUCCUGAUGUGGGUCUCGAAGCCCUCGCGAAGACUCUCGCCUUGUGCGCUCGUCAAAGUAGGCUCGAAUAGAGAGCAAGGGAUCAGCCUCCACCAUGGCGGAAGACGAAGUCCUGCUCGUAGCUUCAGCUACGGUACGUUCCCACUGCUGAAGAUGUUCUAAAGCUCCGCGCUCCGGCCCAGCCUCCAAAUUUUUGAGUUGUCCCGAAAGAAUUGCUUGGAUUGGAGAUCUCCGGAACUCCCCCCAGGGUUGGGAAAGGACGGCCCAGCUGUGAGCGAGGUAGAUGUCGGCAGCCACCAAAUAGAGCUGCGUCCGCCGGUCCGAGAAAGUGUGCGGCCAAGGACGCGGUACCUGGCUCAUCCGAUGAGUAUAAGUCGCUCUAAAGCUAGGUACUCUCACAAUGUCGGUCAGGUUCGAUGAGCAGGUCGCGUCGAUAGAAACUCCUAGUUCUCUUCCUUCUUACGCUCCACGCGUAUUCUUGCGGGUCGAAUUCCCAUGAACUCAUCCAGCUUCGCACAUGCAUAGCGGGCGCCUCUGCUGCGGGGUAAUUUGCAUCCUCAGCUGGAACCUCUGGUGGUCGUCCGUCGUCGUCGAGCUCAGCAAGCAGAUAAAGAUGGAACGGAGCCGAGGGCCGAGCUACCUAGUGCAGGCGCACCUGAGGAGGUGGUGGACUUCCUACGGAGACUCUAAGAGCAGGCAUGACCCAUUCCAGAACCGGCGGCGUCGGGGAAGGUAGUCGCUUAUAUGGGAACACAGCUCUAGGCGGUGUGCGGCUCGUAAGGACUAGCUGGCAUGAGUGCUGCGUCGGAAACCGCCGCCAUGUGGAAAGGAGUCGUCAUCCUGAAUCCCGUCCCGUCAUCACUGGAGGCUUUAGACCUCGAGUGGUGAGGCUCGAGCUGCUUCGAUAGCAGUGAGUAUCCGCCCUGCUGGAUGUGGAAUGUUUUUUUUUACUUUUCUGGUCGAUCUGCUCACCCUACUCCUGCCCUGCCCCACCUGCCUCUGCCGUUGCUCGGAGGCCUGCUCUUUUCCUAGGAGGCUAAUUGACUAAGAGCCCUCAUGGGCGACGGCGUCCAGAAAGUUUGAUGGAACUAGCUCCCACGAACUCACGGAAGAAGGUGGGUCCGCUACUCCACGAGCCAAUCUGUAACACAAAGCACGCGUCAGCACGAAUAAUCGAGACUCGACCAACUCCGCCUACGGACUUGAGGCCCACAGAAACUUGCACUCACGUGCGCUAUGAGUAUUUCGCCCGUAGUCCUGCCUAUGGGUCAACCUAACCAAUGGUUCAUUUCAUUGAUUUUUCGAAAACCAACCUGUGAAUGGUAGUCUCCCCCUGUAUUUUGAGCACGGUCGUCGUAGCACAAGUACAGAGGAGAUCUGUCCCGUCGUGAAGUGGAUUCCCUGUAAUUGUGCGAUCUGACAUACUCUGGGGUCAGGUAUUUGAGAAAAACAAAAACAAAUUAUUAGUCAUUUCGCGUCAUUUCCAAACGCGCAACAAGGACCUCAGGGGUGACAGAUUAAAGUGGUAUCAGAGCCGGUUCAUCAGCUGGACAUGUGUGGCGAGUCUCGCUAUGAGCCACGGGUCGGAUGACGGGCUAACGAGCGACGUCUUACAUCGCGCUGGUGAUCUUGGGCUGUGUGUGUUGUGGACUCGACAGACGUCAGGACUGCAGCUUAAACGGGGAGUCCUGGUGACACCGCCAUAUCAACAUCGAUGAAAUGGAAGGUGUUGUUUAUUCAGGAGUUGAUAAGCACGACUUAGACACUAGCUAAAUAAUAACUGGCUUAGAGCAUUUGGGGUCUGUGUUGGUAUCAUGGGCCAACGAGUUACUCUUAAUUAAGCUUAGUGAAGCUUGGGCCUGGUCGUUACAUUGGUAAUCAGUCAAGUCGAAUUCUUUCAGCUCAUCGAAGCUACUGCUAGACACCGUCGAUUUGUUCAUGAAGUUAUUGUCGUUUCGAACUGCGAAUGAUGACCUGUCGUUCGGAUUCAGUAAUACCGAUUUUGCUGGGAGUCCACCGGGUUAUACCCAAAGCUCUCCGAGCUUUGCCUCAAUGUAAAGCUUGUGAAGCGGUGUGCGAUUUUGGAGAAGGCUGCAACGAAUCGCAAGAUAAUACCUGCACUGCGCCAAACCCUAGAAAAACUCCGGACUUGGUCACCGAAAGUUUUGGUUCAAGACCAGCUACACCACGCGAGGCUAUCUUCUUCGGGUCCGACCGAAUCCACGCCGGAGUAGAAUAUGCCGUCUCUCAAGAAUGACCACGUAGCGACGUCACGGAGCAGAAAUCCACUUCUUGAGCUUAGCGUUACAACUGUGCCGCCGCUGAAGUAUCUGGCAAUUAGCUCUGUCGCGAGAUGAUCCUCAGGUGCUCCCUACAAUACUCCGCGAGUAGAUCAGGAGUCAUCAUGAAACCGACGACAGACACUGAUCCAGAUAAGCUCGGAAGCCCUGUCAUUCAUGUCGCAUAGAAGGCUGCGCGGAGGAUUGGUGAGCCCGAAAGGCACACCGUGAACUCGUAGUGGCCGUAACGAGUCCGGAAAGGCGGUCUUUCGGCACAUCCUCAGCCCGGAUCUUUAAGCUGAUGUAGCCUCCCGACCGCAAGAUCAUCCUUGGAGUUAGCACCGACGAUCCUUUGACAAGGCUGGUCAUGGUACGAAGCCUGAACUUUCCAGUACGCGCUUUCUCAUCUUUAGAGUGACGGUCAGGUCCAGAGCGACGUGCAUCCAGACUUCUUGUACGACAUGCUCUGGCGCAGAUCGCGUCUGGAUUACGGUGGAUCGGAUGGUCUCGGUAUUACCGUUGGUGGAGUUUCGCGACUAUAAUAAACAGCUUUCAGGGUCGACAUCGGGAUGGCACCAUACCGAGGCGUCUGUUAUGGGCGUUCGAUGUCGUUCUCAGCUAUCUGCUUGGCACGCAUGUCGAAGACCGCCGGUUAGUUAGGACUACUAGAUUUAGUAGGAGACGCCACAUGAGGCAAGAUCCGCAUUGGGCGAGAGAGCGGCUUCAGACCUGCAACAGAUAGAAUCCAAGGGGCGACUAGCGCGGCCCAGGCGGAGGCCGGAACCUAGAGUUUCAGUCGUGAGUCAUGUGCUGCUCAAGUGUCGCCUUCCAGGAUCAAUACGGUUUGUUUGCGGAACAAGCUUAUCGCGCUGGUUUCGGUGGGACCCGUUCUGAGAUCCUACGAGCUGCGUUGGUCCGGUGGGCUUACCAGAUUGCUCUCAUACCGCAGUCUCGCCCGAGUGCAGCAACGUUUUUUCACGUGUCCCAUGCUUCGGAUACCACAUCCCGAUCCGUCCCCACAUCAUUCAGUCGACACGCAUUCAGCUAUGCGGGAGGAUCUCGAGCUAUGCAGUGAGGCUCCCGUUGCACGAUCCUGGUCACGUGAGGUGAACGCAGUUGCCGGAAUAGGAGCAUAUCCGUAUUCAAGGUCCAGUGGAGGAGAAGCGCGACGAGAGGGCUGCGCCUGAGGCUACUGGGAGCUUGAAUGCGUCAUGGCGGUCGAUCAUUAUCCACAGUUAUUUUGCGAGGGACGUCCUUGUNNNNNNNNNNNNNNNNNNNNNNNNNACUAAUUAUAUAGUUCUAUUAUGCCGCCGGCGCAAUUGUUAUAUAUUUGGAACGAUCUUAAAUUUACAAGAACCAAAUCGGAACAACAAUUAGACUACUAAGUUGCGCACCUAACAUAUUAACUUUUGCAACGAGCACUUAUUUCUCAUUCUACAAACAAAGAGUAAAACCAUUAUAUUGCUUAUUAUGCCUCGAGACAGUGUAAAUUUGGAACGAAUCAGAAACUUGUCAACGUUCACAAGACAACAAACAUGGACGAAAAUUAGCACUACUCAGUUUGCGCGCAACAGUAUAACUUUUGAACGAGUAUUUUUCUUCAUUGAUCAAUAGAACAAAGAGUUAAAACCUAAGUAUAUUAUUUUUUAUACCUCCAUUCGUGCUAAAUCGUAGAACGAGGUCAAUGUCAACGUUCACAAGACCAAAAUCGGAACACAUAGACUACUCAGUUGGCACCAACAGAUAUGAACUUAUGCACACGAAUACUUUUUUCUAAUUCUAUCAACAAAGAAGUAAACCCCAUAUUAUAUUGUAUCUUAUGCCCCAGAGUGUAAAUUUGGAACGUAACCAGAUGGCAAGGUUCACGUAAGAACAAAAAACAGGAACAAAAUUAGAUACUAGUUGCGGCCAAAAAGUCUAACUUUGCAACGAGUAUUUUUUCUCAUUUCUAUUAUCAGAAAGAGGUAAAACCUAAUUAUAUAGUUCUAAUUUGCCUGGAGUGUAAACUUGGAACGAAUCAGAUUCGUCAACGUGAUUAAGAAGAAAAACCAGAAAACACAUUACACUACUCUGGUUUGCAGCACUAACAGUAUAACUGCGACGUAGUACUUUUGUCUCUUUCUAUCGAACAAAAAGUGAAACCUAAUUAUCAUUCUAUUAUGCCCGGGCGAGUGUAAAUUGUGGAAGAUCUUCAACGUUCACAAAAGAACCAAAUCGGAACAACAUGAGCACUACUCAUUGCGACCUAACGUUAUAACUUUGCAACGAGUACUUUUCUGAUUUCUAUCAACAAAGAGAUAAAACCUUUAAUUAUAUCGAUAUCUAUAGUCUCGAGAGUGUAAAUUGGACGAUAUCAGAGUCAAGUUCAGAAAGAAUCAAAGAUUCGGCGAAGAACAUUAGAUACUCAGUUUUGGCCCUAACAGUUAUACUUAAUGCAACGAUCUUUUUCUACGUUCUAUCAAACAAAGAGUAAAAUACUAAUUAUAUUAUUUAUUAUACGCUCGAGAGUGUGAAUUUGGACGAAGGUCAUAUCAACGUUCACAAGAACCAGCCGGGAGACCGGUCCUUGUCCGAGAGACCGGUUCCCGAGAGCAAUACUUUCGGGACUUAGCCAAAUUUCGGCUUCUCUCGCUGGGCCAACGUUCGGGAACCGGUCCCUGCCUGCUAGGGACAGGUCUCAUCAGAGACCCCCGCAGCCCAGCCUGAUGGGACCGGUCCCUCCCUGCCAGGGACCGGUCCCCGAGAGCAUUUCUUCUCCAGUGCAGCUUUUGCACGGGUGCUCUCGCGGACACCUCCUCAAUGCACCUUAUGCAUUGUGAUCACCUUCGGACUUUCCGAAGCUUGCACGCACGACAACCAGUCGAUCUUUGACGAAGUCUAAUCCUCGAGUUUCGAGAAUUCACUUCCCUUACACUCUCCCCACUUAAAAGAGUUUCGUCCUCGAAACGAACUCAACAAUAUUAAAUUCAUCCAGAAUACUCAUACCUCGGUGGCUCACUCAAACAAGUGAGGAUGAUUCGCUCUCAUCUCCUCCUCGAGCUCCCAGGUGGCUUCGCGGUCAGCAUGAUUGCUCCACUCUCAGGGCAUAAUAGAAUAAUAUAAUUAGGUUUUACUCUUUGUUCGAUAGAAUGAGAAAAAGUACUCGUUGCAAAGUUAUACUGUUUGGGCGCAACAGAGUAGUCUAUUGUUGUUCCGGUUUUCGUUAUUGUGAACGUCGACAUCGAUUCGUUCCAAAUUUACACUCUCGGAGUAUAAUAGAACUAUAUAAUUUGGUUUUACUCUUUAUUCAAUAGAAUGAGAAAAAGUACUCGUUGCAAAGUUAUACUGUUUGGGCGCAACUCAGUGGUCUAAUUUUGUUCCGGUUUUUGUUCUUGUGAACGUUGACAUCGAUUCGUUCCAAAUUUAUACUCUCGGGGCAUAAUAGCACAAUAUAAUUAGGUUUUACUCUUUGUUCGAUAGAAUGAGAAAAAGUACUCGUUGCAAAGUUAUACUGUUAGGGUGCUACUGAAUAGUUGAAUGUUGUUCCAAUUUUGAUUCAUGUGAACGUUGACAUCGAUUCGUUCCAAAUUUACACUCUCGGGGCAUAAUAAAAUAAUAUAAUUAGGGUUUACUCUUUGCCCGAUAGAAUGAGAAAAAGUACUCGUUGCAAAGUUAUACUGUUAGUGUGCAACUGAGUAGUCUAAUAUUGUUCCGGUUUUUGUUCUUCAGAUCGUUGAC